This is a long non-coding RNA of Amphimedon queenslandica, 443 nucleotides long. RefSeq lists it as uncharacterized. The record is from RefSeq and is a predicted model, not a curated record. NCBI's taxonomy places the organism in Eukaryota, Metazoa, Porifera, Demospongiae, Haplosclerida, Niphatidae. The transcript is spliced from 3 exons.
GUAAUCAUAAUAAGUAGGUGUGGCCUAACCACGUGAAUACACGUGUGUUAAUUAUGCUGUCAGCUGGGUACUUGGACUGCAUGUGAUAUCAUCCUCUGAAGACUUAACAAUAAUACUCAGUGUCAGUCUCUGAUCCAUUGGAAUGAAUCUACUAUUCAACUGUCAUGACUUCUCUCUUUAUUAGGACCCAUUUUACACACGUGGUAUCACGUGGACAAAGUGGGCAGGGAUUUGUAGGCGUGGCAUGGCUCAAGAAAGGUGGUGAGUGCAGAACAGAAGCUCAAUGAAGUACAUCAAGAAUCAAAAGCAACAACUCCACCUCCUCCUGCUAAACCGGGACCAGAGAAAAGAAAGAUCCCGAUCCAAAGUGUAUGUGAGACAGUUGUUCCUAAGCUGAUACCUGAAGAUAUCCCCUUGCUACACAGUCUCCUUCAAGAUGUAUU